AACGCGUGAGCAACCUGCCCUUCAGUGGGGAAUAACGUCUGGAAACGGACGCUAAUACCGCAUAACACAACGAAGCCGCAUGACUUUGUUGUCAAAGGAUUUAUUCGCUGAAGGAUGGGCUCGCGUCCGAUUAGCUAGAUGGUGGGGUAAAGGCUCACCAUGGCGACGAUCGGUAGCCGAACUGAGAGGUUGAUCGGCCGCAUUGGGACUGAGACACGGCCCAG
This 224-nucleotide ribosomal RNA is filed under the name uncultured Bacillota bacterium. RNAcentral's name for it is "uncultured Firmicutes bacterium partial 16S ribosomal RNA". It matches the Rfam family "Bacterial small subunit ribosomal RNA", at positions 112 to 334 of the family's 1533-position model. Lineage: Bacteria; Bacillati; Bacillota. The record is from RNAcentral.